GACGAACGCUGGCGGCGUGCUUAACACAUGCAAGUCGAACGGUGAAGCGCCUUCCUUUUUGGUGGGUGUGGAUGAGUGGCGAACGGGUGAGUAACACGUGAGUAACCUGCCCCCUUCUUCUGGAUAACCACAUGAAAGUGUGGCUAAUACGGGAUAUUCUGGGUCUGUCGCAUGAUGGGUCUGGGAAAGAUAUUGUUUCGGUGGGGGAUGGGCUCGCGGCCUAUCAGCUUGUUGGUGGGGUGAUGGCCUACCAAGGCGGUGACGGGUAGCCGGCCUGAGAGGGUGGACGGUCACACUGGGACUGAGACACGGCCCAGACUCCUACGGGAGGCAGCAGUGGGGAAUAUUGCACAAUGGGCGCAAGCCUGAUGCAGCGACGCCGCGGGAGGGAUGGAGGCCUUCGGGUUGUGAACCUCUUUCGCCAGUGAAGCAGGCCUGCCUCGUUUGUGGGUGGGUUGACGGUAGCUGGAUAAGAAGCGCCGGCUAACUACGUG
RNAcentral lists this ribosomal RNA (494 nucleotides) under uncultured bacterium. Its description in RNAcentral is "partial 16S ribosomal RNA". It matches the Rfam family "Bacterial small subunit ribosomal RNA", at positions 28 to 507 of the family's 1533-position model. The record is from RNAcentral.